RNAcentral lists this unclassified non-coding RNA (494 nucleotides) under Hevea brasiliensis (rubber tree). Lineage: Eukaryota; Viridiplantae; Streptophyta; Magnoliopsida; Malpighiales; Euphorbiaceae. The record is from RNAcentral.
AAUAUGUAGUGGGAGAGGCAUAGGUAUCCAUGUUAAUCUCUUAGGCAUGUUCUUUUCAACCCUGCUUUGUAGGGGGAUAUAUUGUUACAGCAUCUGGUCCUGCCAUUUCUGGUUUAUUUCCUUCCCCUUUGAAAGGAACUCUUUAAGGCCUUUGCAAUAUUUCGGUGUUCACUGAAAUAAAAUACAAAGCUAUCUUGGAAAAAGAAUGUUUUGUUGACAAAAAGUCCGAUGUUCUGUUCUAAUUUUUAUAUUGCUUGUUUAAUUAAGUUAAUCUUUCAAGCUUAAGUAACUUUGGUAUACUCUAGUUUGCAGGUAUCACAGCUUUAUGUUUUAGUAAUGCUUGCAGUUUUUCACUACUAUGGGAGUGUUGUAUGUGUGAUUUAUUUAUUUUGGAUACUGGGGUUAGGUUUUAUUACAUGUAAAGUUUUGUUCAUUAUGCCAUCUUGAUCUAUGGAGGUUAUCUAUAUUUAUGUCGAGACUAAGUGAUUUUGCAG